This 627-nucleotide ribosomal RNA is filed under the name uncultured bacterium. RNAcentral describes it as "partial 16S ribosomal RNA". The stretch from base 1 to 541 matches the Rfam family "Bacterial small subunit ribosomal RNA", at positions 338 to 873 of the family's 1533-position model. The record is from RNAcentral.
CCUACGGGAGGCAGCAGUGGGGAAUUUUGGACAAUGGGCGAAAGCCUGAUCCAGCAAUGCCGCGUGCAGGAAGAAGGCCUUCGGGUUGUAAACUGCUUUUGUACGGAACGAAACGGUUCGCUUUAAUACAGUGGGCUAAUGACGGUACCGUAAGAAUAAGCACCGGCUAACUACGUGCCAGCAGCCGCGGUAAUACGUAGGGUGCGAGCGUUAAUCGGAAUUACUGGGCGUAAAGCGUGCGCAGGCGGUUAUAUAAGACAGUUGUGAAAUCCCCGGGCUCAACCUGGGAAUUGCAUCUGUGACUGUAUAGCUAGAGUACGGUAGAGGGGGAUGGAAUUCCGCGUGUAGCAGUGAAAUGCGUAGAUAUGCGGAGGAACACCGAUGGCGAAGGCAAUCCCCUGGACCUGUACUGACGCUCAUGCACGAAAGCGUGGGGAGCAAACAGGAUUAGAUACCCUGGUAGUCCACGCCCUAAACGAUGUACAACUGGUUGUUGGUGCUAUUAGUACUCAGUAACGAAGCUAACGCGNGAGUAGACGCCGUGGAGGUACGGCCGGCGAGUAGUUAACGUUACGUAAGUUAGAAGUAGACGGCGNGAGAGNGCGAGGACGACGACGAGGGAGGAGG